GACGAACGCUGGCGGCGUGCUUAACACAUGCAAGUCGAACGGAAAGGCCCGCUUGCGGGUACUCGAGUGGCGAACGGGUGAGUAACACGUGGGCAACCUGCCCUCAGCUUUGGGAUAACUCCCGGAAACGGGUGCUAAUACCGAAUAUUGACAUUUCCUCGCAUGGGGUUUUGUUGAAAGUUUUUUCGGCUGGGGAUGGGCCCGCGGCCUAUCAGCUUGUUGGUGGGGUGAUGGCCUACCAAGGCGACGACGGGUAGCCGGCCUGAGAGGGCGACCGGCCACACUGGAACUGAGACACGGUCCAGACUCCUACGGGAGGCAGCAGUGGGGAAUAUUGCGCAAUGGGCGGAAGCCUGACGCAGCGACGCCGCGUGAGGGAUGAAGGUCUUCGGAUUGUAAACCUCUUUCAGUAGGGACGAAUUUAGACGGUACCUGCAGAAGAAGCACCGGCCAACUACGUGCCAGCAGCCGCCGUAAAAC
This 480-nucleotide ribosomal RNA is filed under the name uncultured bacterium. RNAcentral's name for it is "bacterial SSU rRNA". It matches the Rfam family "Bacterial small subunit ribosomal RNA", at positions 28 to 526 of the family's 1533-position model. The record is from RNAcentral.